UGUUGAAAACACCAGUUCUCGUUCGAUCAUCGAAGUUAAACAGCGCUGAUCCCGGUUUAUACUUAGAUGGUGGACCGCUUGUGAACACCAGGU
This is a non-coding RNA of Acanthosepion pharaonis, 93 nucleotides long. Lineage: Eukaryota; Metazoa; Mollusca; Cephalopoda; Sepiida; Sepiidae. The record is from the annotation of a GenBank genome assembly.